UGGAGGAAAGCAGGGGAUCGUAAGACCUUGCGCUUUUGGAGUGGCCGAUGCCUGAUUAGCUAGUUGGUGGGGUAAGAGCCUACCAAGGCGACGAUCAGUAGUUGGUCUGAGAGGACGACCAGCCACACUGGGACUGAGACACGGCCCAGACUCCUACGGGAGGCAGCAGUGGGGAAUUUUGGACAAUGGGCGGAAGCCUGAUCCAGCAAUACCGCGUGAGUGAAGAAGGCCUUCGGGUUGUAAAGCUCUUUCAGUCGAGAAGAAAAGGUUGUGACUAAUAAUCGCAACUUAUGACGGUAUCGACAGAAGAAGCACCGGCUAACUACGUGCCAGCAGCCGCGGUAAUACGUAGGGUGCGAGCGUUAAUCGGAAUUACUGGGCGUAAAGGGUGCGCAGGCGGCUCUGUAAGUCAGAUGUGA
RNAcentral lists this ribosomal RNA (419 nucleotides) under uncultured ammonia-oxidizing beta proteobacterium. Its description in RNAcentral is "bacterial SSU rRNA". It matches the Rfam family "Bacterial small subunit ribosomal RNA", at positions 197 to 597 of the family's 1533-position model. Lineage: Bacteria; Pseudomonadati; Pseudomonadota; Betaproteobacteria. The record is from RNAcentral.